Molecule: transfer RNA, 77 nt
Filed under: Sphaerodactylus townsendi
Lineage: Eukaryota; Metazoa; Chordata; Lepidosauria; Squamata; Sphaerodactylidae
Description: tRNA-Ala
Source: RNAcentral
GGGGUCGCACUUCGGCUCAGUGGUAGAGCAUUGGCUUGGCAUGCAGAAUGUCCUGAGUUCAAUCCCAGUUGUCUUCU